Molecule: long non-coding RNA, 1204 nt
Filed under: Scleropages formosus (Asian bonytongue)
Lineage: Eukaryota; Metazoa; Chordata; Actinopteri; Osteoglossiformes; Osteoglossidae
Description: lncRNA (ENSSFOG00015024616.1)
Source: RNAcentral
AAAAAGCAUGUUUACACAUGUAGGAAUUAACCCACUAUUAAAAGUGUAACCUUACCUGCAAUUCCACAAUAAAGCCACGAGGGGGCGCCAUCACACCACGACUGGUGGAACUGUUGUGCCACCUCUCCCCCACAAGUAGACACCCUAUAGGCAAACGCAUCAUAUAUUACGCUUUUUUACACACCUCCCAGCAAUGCAGCCGUCACCAGCAUCGCACCAACUGGCACUGGAACACACGUUGAAGAAGGCAGAGAAGGCGGCCCUAGACAAACACGGAUUACAAUCGCUGCCGGUGAAGAAAGUGACGCGCACCCUGCUGAGGGCCGGCUCUGAGUUCUCGCGGACUACAAAGACCUGGUCCAGGUGCUGCAACAGAGACAGGGAGCAACACAUCCGUCACCAGCAUCGCACGGACCGGCACGGGUCCACACGUUGAAGGAGGCAGAGAAGGCGGCCCUAGACAAACAGGGAUUACAAUCGCUGCCGGUGAAGAAAGUGACGCGCACCCUGCUGAGGGCCGGCUCUGGGUUCUCGCGGACUACAAAGACCUGGUCCAGGUGCUGCAACAGAGACAGGGAGGUAAGACUGGGCUUCAUCUAUACUGGGCAACUUUCUGUAUUGUCUUUCAGUGUUGAUGUGAUUGUGUAUGUUGUUGUCUCUACCACUCCGAAUAGUUGAGCCCAACAUUGUGCUACUUACUGAUAUUUAUUAAUACUAUUUAAAAAAGAAAAAGGAAAAAAAAAGGUGAAAAAUGGUAAGUUUGCAGAAUAGAUUUGAUGUUUGAGUGCAACAAAGGGACAUGAUGGCAGCAAGCAGUCUUAAAAUGGACACACACACGGGGAUUACAAUCUCUUCUGGUGAACAAACCGACAUGCACCUGGCGAGGGAAAGCCCUGGGUUCUCGAGGAUUACAAAAACCUCCAGGCGCUGCAGCAGAGACUGGGGGGUAAGACUGGGGUCCUUCUGUACCGGGCGACCUUUCUGUAUUGUCUCUCACUGUUGAUGUGAUUGCAGACAGCAAUCAACCUAAUUUUAAAAUUUCAAUGCCACCUGCAAUUUCACAAUGAAGCCGCGUGGGGAGAGUCAUCACACCACAACCAAGCAACUGAAACACGCUCUGACUGUUGAUGUGGUUGUAUAUAGUACACUGCCUAAAGGCGUGUUAGACAGGUGAAUAAAUAACCCAAUUUUAAAAAUAAAACCA